RNAcentral lists this ribosomal RNA (253 nucleotides) under uncultured bacterium. Its description in RNAcentral is "partial 16S ribosomal RNA". It matches the Rfam family "Bacterial small subunit ribosomal RNA", at positions 524 to 776 of the family's 1533-position model. The record is from RNAcentral.
UACGUAGGGUGCGAGCGUUAAUCGGAAUUACUGGGCGUAAAGCGUGCGCAGGCGGUUCGUUGUGUCUGAUGUGAAAGCCCCGGGCUCAACCUGGGAAUGGCAUUGGAAACUGGCAGGCUGGAGUGCGGCAGAGGGGGGUGGAAUUCCACGUGUAGCAGUGAAAUGCGUAGAGAUGUGGAGGAACACCGAUGGCGAAGGCAGCCCCCUGGGCCGACACUGACGCUCAGGCACGAAAGCGUGGGGAGCAAACAGG